This 1427-nucleotide long non-coding RNA is filed under the name Homo sapiens (human). Its description in RNAcentral is "HSALNT0355414". The record is from RNAcentral. Lineage: Eukaryota; Metazoa; Chordata; Mammalia; Primates; Hominidae.
GGGAGUGGGCGGCGCGGGGUGGGUGGAGUGGGUCGGCGGCGGGGAUCCUGCCGAGCCCGCAGCUGCCCUCUUUUAGCGCCGUGUCUCCUCCCCGGCCCUGGCUCGUCCCACCUCAGCCACAGCCCGGCCCCCUGGCCGGCCGAGGUCUCGCCGCCGGCGCCCUGGGGACCUCGUGGGUGUGGCCGGCGGCGACCUCGGCAGGCGACAGCCCAGCAGACGGGCACCAGGUGGACGUGCCAGUCUCCAGACCCCCGUCCCGGUGCAGGGAAGGUGGGCGUUUGGACCCCUGAGGCAGAAACAGGUGCGGCCCCGCCGGCGCAUCCCCCGGAAGGGACGCUGACUUCGUUCCCCUGGAGCCUGCGUCGGGGCCCGCGCUGGGCUGAGAAUUACGGGAACGCCGUGAGAGUUUGCAUUCCGAGGAUUUGGUCUGAGAACCUCACCAGCGAAAUAGAGAACUGCCCCCGGGAGAGCCGGCCCACGUGCCGCCCACCGGCGCCUUGACGGCAGGGAGAGGUCGAGCUUCCAGGGAGCGGGCGCCCGGCGCGGGGCUCCCAGCCUGUCUGUACCUGGUCGAGACACCCCGUGCCAGAGGCGGAACAUGUAUGAAAUGCCAGGUGCCCAGAGGACCCAGGCAGUCCGUCAUUCACAUACCAACCCACGUGCAGGCUUCAAUUCAACCUUGAAGCCAUUUGGGCCUGGGCUUUUUUGAUGACUUAUUUGAUUCAUAGUUUUUUGGUUACUAAUUGAGUCUCUUCACUUGUUAUAGGUCUGUUGAGAUUGUCUAUUUUUUCUUGAGUCAGCCGUCUGAAAAGAACACGAGGUGGACAGGGCAGAGCGGUCAAGGAAAGCCAUAGGAGGAGGGCACUUAUUUGAGCAAAGACCGGCGGGACGUGGGCGUCGAGGGUAAGGAUAUCUGCAGAAGUACUGUCUUGAGCAAGGAGCACGGCAGACAGAGCCUCUGAGACACGAGAGCCUGGAGUGUAAGAAACACAGUAGAGGCCACUAAGUCGAGAACGCAGGAGCUGGAAGGACUGCUGCCCUAUCUAGAAGCUCCAGUACAAUAUUGACUAGAAGCAGCAAGAGUGGACAUCCUUGUCUUGCUCCUGAUUUCAGGGAGGAGGCAUCCAGUCUUUCACCUUUGGGCAACCAACUGCUGCAGCAGCAUCAGCAGUGUCCGGGACUCCACCUCCUACAGAAGUCGUGGAUGUCUCACAUCACAUCACCAUUGCUGCAGAUGCCACAGAAUACCAUUCUGCUCAUCAUUGCUCCAAAAUUACCAUAACUCCUGGACCAGCUGCUUGAUUACAUUAUUUAAUGCAUUCAUAAAGAGGCACAUGCAGUACUGUACCACCGUUUAAAAUUUGUGAUGAAAGUACUUUAAUUUCAUUUUUAAUUUUGUAGGCAUUAAAAGCAUUAUCUGAAUCUCA